UACGGAGGGGGCAAGCGUUGUUCGGAAUUACUGGGCGUAAAGGGCGCGUAGGCGGCCGAGCAUGUCCUUCGUGAAAUCCCACGGCUCAACCGUGGAAUGGCGGAGGAAACUGCUCGGCUUGAGUCCGGGAGAGGGGAGUGGAAUUCCCAGUGUAGCGGUGAAAUGCGUAGAUAUUGGGAGGAACACCGGUGGCGAAGGCGGCUCUCUGGACCGGUACUGACGCUGAGGCGCGAAAGCUAGGGGAGCAAACGGGAUUAGAAACCCCCGUAGUCC
RNAcentral lists this ribosomal RNA (273 nucleotides) under uncultured bacterium. Its description in RNAcentral is "partial 16S ribosomal RNA". It matches the Rfam family "Bacterial small subunit ribosomal RNA", at positions 524 to 796 of the family's 1533-position model. The record is from RNAcentral.